UACGGGGGGGGCAAGCGUUGUUCGGAAUUACUGGGCGUAAAGGGUUCGUAGGUGGCUUGUUAAGUCAGACGUGAAAUCCCUCGGCUCAACCGGGGAACUGCGUCUGAGACUGAUGAGCUCGAGUGCAGGAGAGGAACGCGGAAUUCCAGGUGUAGCGGUGAAAUGCGUAGAUAUUUGGAGGAACACCGGUGGCGAAGGCGGCGUCUGGACUGCAACUGACACUGAGGAACGAAAGCCAGGGGAGCAAACGGG
Molecule: ribosomal RNA, 252 nt
Filed under: uncultured bacterium
Lineage: Bacteria
Description: partial 16S ribosomal RNA
Rfam family: Bacterial small subunit ribosomal RNA
Source: RNAcentral